Molecule: non-coding RNA, 3121 nt
Organism: Delphinapterus leucas (beluga whale)
Lineage: Eukaryota; Metazoa; Chordata; Mammalia; Artiodactyla; Monodontidae
Source: RefSeq, a predicted model, not a curated record
AACAAAAAAAACAAAAAAAUAGUGCUGUGUCCGCCAUUCUGCCAGUGCCGUCAAAGUUGGCUUUUCUUCCACAAGGUGACGGAGGUGGUGUGUUGUAAUGGGGGGAGCGCUGGCCUCAGAAUAUGGACCGUGUGAUUUGGGCACAUCCCCUAAAAGCUGGGGGCCCUGGAACCAGUCCCCCGCAGGUACUGAGGGAUGACUGUGUUUGGGAAAGAGGAAUUAGGAGCUCUUUUGAGAGGCAGGGAUGGGGAAGAAAACUUCUGUUUUGUCACCCAUAGGCGGACUCACAUUGGGACUCCGAGGAAACUGGAGAAAGGACUUACCGCUGGCGUCUUCCCAAAGGACGUCCUGAAGAAACUUCCCCAGGGUCUGGCCGUGCUGGUGGGACUGAGCCCCUGACAGCUUGAUCCCAACGUCAAAGGGGGCGCUGAACUAGGAGGACCCAGGAAUUGUCAGAGGUCACACCCUCCCUAAAUACUCAUUUCCGCUCCACCCCUGUGGCUCAUGCGGGUGGUUGGAUGACCCCAGCCGACUUUGCAGCACCACGAGCACCAAGCUGGGGACCUGCUGGGCUGGUUUGCACCCUGGAACCAGCGACGGGCAACUGACGGGAGUCGCAGCAGCUGUUGGAUAGGGGUGCGGCUUUGAGCAACUUGAAAAGGUGCCUUAGUGUCUCAUGUGGUCAGUGGGGGAUGGGUGGAACUUGGCCUCGAAAGCUUCCAGCUCUGAAACUUGAUUGAUUUCAGGAAAACUUUUGGAGGGGGUGUAGGGGCCUGGGAUGAGUGAGGUGGGACCCUGGCCCUGGAGGGGUUCGGGGGGCACAGCCAGAGCUCUGUGGCCUGUGUCACAGGCCUCCCACCUGCCUCUGGCGUCUCACCACCUCCGACAUUUCAGACUCCUGGUUCUAGCGGAGGUAGGGCCUGCCGUUUGCUCUGUGGAAACUGGAAACGUCCAGCCGUGAGUCAUCAGCCACUGGAACCUCUUCCCCGCCUGGGCUAACUUAGGGCGUCUCUGGCCCCACUGGACCUGGGGGUCUCACCGGGAAAGUUCCCUGGUUUAGUCUAAGGAUUUGCAGGCUGAUGAGUGGGAACGUGGCGGGUGGGGUCGCACAUGUGGUGGAGGAGGCGCCUGGCGAGGGUCAGAGGGCGAGGGUUGGGGAUUUGACCCCUGAGGGGAGGAGAGGCUGGGGGUGGGUGGAGGCAGGCCAAGGCAGGGCAGAGGAGACUUCCUGGGCCACCUGCUCGCUCUCUGCCAGACGGGUGCUGGGGACACAGGGCUUGGGGACUGGAGUCCCCCAGACUGUGGGUCCCACCUCUUCCCCAUGCAGGGCUGUGGCCCCUCAGCCCAGUGAGCUCCCUCGGCUGAACCUCGGUUCCUCAUCUCUAAAUGAGGGCACAGAAACCAGCCCCACUGACUUCACAGGUGGUUGUAGAGGUUAAAUGCGAAGCAGGAGGGUAAAGCAGCCGGAGAGCGAGACCGCAGUUACUAACAGUAGUUACUAGGCACCACCCGGGGAUUCUGGUUUCCCUGCGUGCGGGGAUCUGUCCUCACCUAAACUCUUGUCAGAACCAUUCCCUGGACCGCGGCUGCCCAGCAGGGGUAACUAUAAAACGCCUUCACGCUUUCUCUCUCGUAGUCCUCCGUUUCUCUCUAAGUGGCUCCCCUGCCCCGUGAACUAUUCAUCAAAGCUCAAGCAAGCCUGAUGAGCCCCAUCCUCGUCUACAGGUGGGGGUUUGGUGAGAGCUGGGCUCACCGCUCACCUGUCCAGGCCGCCGCCUGGUAAGAUUGGGUAAGCCAGGUUCUGAGAGGGAGCAGAGUGCCCUGGGGGCAGGAGAGCCGGGACCUGGUGCUGCCACAGGUGACCACACACAGAUUGGCCUUACGCAGAUCACUGAGCGUCCCCCUGCUCACGGCUGCCUCUCACAGGGGCUUGAGGAUUAACUGAGGUGAUGGGUGUGAAAUCCUUUGUAACCUGUCAAGUACCGCGCAGGUGACAACUGUUUUUUGUACCCUGGCCAGCCUUUGCCACGUCAGAUGUUCGCGGACGAAGAGCGCAUCAACCACGUGGGGGAUUCCUUACGCGCCCGCAGCGGCUCAUCCCACAGGAUGCCCAGGGUCCUAUUUUUUCUGCUACUGAAAGAGGAGUGUUGAGAUCUCCAGCUGGAAUUGUAACUGACUUCAGUUCUGACUCGACCCAGUGCCCUUUGUAUCCUGAGGCUGUUGCACUCUGGUUCUUGGGAACGUGAACUACUCGCCCUCUGUUGAGUUCCAGGAAUUGCUUGGCCCACUGCUGUUUGGUCACGAGAGUUUCACCCUUCCCAUAAGCAGGGAUUCUGCUGCUGAAAAAUGGACAAAGAACAGGCACAAGAGGGGUCCACACUUAGCUGUGCACAGAACCUCCUGCAGUGAGCGGCCUGACCUUUCUUUGGUGUGUGCGCACAUAAAGGCCCGGCGUGAGCUCCACUCCUCGAUUACGGCUGAGGAGCCCCAGCACCAGGUCGCGGAUUCCAGCCUUGAGAGUUCUGAUUUCUGAGCUGAGACGGAUUAGGAUGUCAACGCUGCCUCUGGCACGUGGCGGUGGACAGCCCAGGGCGGCUCUUGACCUUCUUGCCAGUUUCCUCACCAGUAAGUCAGGGGUAUGCGCCUACACAGGUUUUCUGUGCUGCUUCACUCAGGUCUCAGUAAAUCCCAGCUACUGCUGCGACUGCUGCUUCAGGUCAGUGUCCCAGGGCCUCUGGUGAAAGGUGAUCCUUGGUUCAGGGUUGCUUAGGACCAGAACCAUGCUUUGCAUACUCUGUGCUCUAAACUGUCAGUCCCACAACAGGCCAGCCUCGGAACCCAGACUUCUUAGGCUCCAGGGAUGUGAUAAUAGCCUAGAUUGCCGUGGCCUGAGGGGAGUUUAUUAGGCAUUUUUUCCGUUUUUUAAUUUAAUUUUUAUUUCAUUUUAAAGUAUAGUUGAUUUUCAGUGUUGUGUUUAUUUGAGGUGUAGAGCAAUGUGAUUCAGUAUACACACAUAACUGUGCUCACUUGGACUCUUCUCCCAUAUAGGUUGUGACAGAGUGCUGAGUAGAAUUCCCUGUGCGCUACAAUAUUUCCUUCUUAAUUAUCGGUUUUAUGAAUA